AUUGAACGCUGGCGGCAUGCCUUACACAUGCAAGUCGAACGCGAAAGCGGGGCAACCCGCAAGUAGAGUGGCGAACGGGUGAGUAAUGCAUCGGAACAUUUCCAGUAGCGGGGGAUAACCUGUCGAAAGAUAGGCUAAUACCGCAUACGCCCCACGGGGGAAAGCGGAGGACCGCAAGGCUUCGAACUAUUGGAGUGGCCGAUGCCGGAUUAGCUAGUUGGCGGGGUAAAAGCCCACCAAGGCUACGAGCCGUAGCUGGUCUGAGAGGACGAUCAGCCACACUGGAACUGAGACACGGUCCAGACUCCUACGGGAGGCAGCAGUGGGGAAUUUUGGACAAUGGGCGCAAGCCUGAUCCAGCCAUGCCGCGUGAGUGAAGAAGGCCUUCGGGUUGUAAAGCUCUUUCGGUGGGGACGAAAUGGUUCGUGCUAAUACCACGGACUGAUGACGGUACCCGAAGAAGAAGCACCGGCUAACUACGUGCCAGCAGCCGCGGUAA
Molecule: ribosomal RNA, 499 nt
Filed under: uncultured bacterium
Lineage: Bacteria
Description: partial 16S ribosomal RNA
Rfam family: Bacterial small subunit ribosomal RNA
Source: RNAcentral